CAGUCGCCACGGUAAUACGUAGGGUGCAAGCGUUAAUCGGAAUUACUGGGCGUAAAGCGUGCGCAGGCGGUUCCGCAAGUCAGAUGUGAAAUCCCCGGGCUCAACCUGGGAACUGCAUUUGAAACUACGGGGCUAGAGUGUGUCAGAGGGGGGUGGAAUUCCACGUGUAGCAGUGAAAUGCGUAGAGAUGUGGAGGAACACCAAUGGCGAAGGCAGCCCCCUGGGAUGACACUGACGCUCAUGCACGAAAGCGUGGGGAGCAAACAGGAUUAGAUACCCGCGUAGUCCCUGUCUCUUAUAC
This 301-nucleotide ribosomal RNA is filed under the name uncultured bacterium. Its description in RNAcentral is "partial 16S ribosomal RNA". It matches the Rfam family "Bacterial small subunit ribosomal RNA", at positions 509 to 807 of the family's 1533-position model. The record is from RNAcentral.